UACAGAGGGUGCAAGCGUUAUUCGGAAUUACUGGGCGUAAAGCGCAUGUAGGCGGUUCGAUAAGUCUGAUGUGAAAGCCCCCGACUCAAUCGGGGAAGUGCAUCGGAUACUGCCGGACUGGAGUACAGGAGAGGAGAACGGAAUUCCUGGUGUAGAGGUGAAAUUCGUAGAUAUCAGGAGGAACAACUGUGGCGAAGGCGGUUCUCUGGACUGUAACUGACGCUGAGAUGCGAAAGCGUGGGGAGCAAACAGG
This 253-nucleotide ribosomal RNA is filed under the name uncultured bacterium. Its description in RNAcentral is "partial 16S ribosomal RNA". It matches the Rfam family "Bacterial small subunit ribosomal RNA", at positions 524 to 776 of the family's 1533-position model. The record is from RNAcentral.